GACGUAGGGGGCCAGCGUUGUUCGGAAUUACUGGGUGUAAAGGGUUCGUAGGCGGUGCGGCAAGUCGGGAGUGAAAUCUCUGGGCUUAACCCAGAGGCUGCUUCCGAAACUGCUGUGCUUGAGUGUGGGGGAGGCGCGUGGAAUUGCAGGUGUAGCGGUGAAAUGCGUAGAUAUCUGCAGGAACACCCGUGGCGAAAGCGGCGCGCUGGACCACUACUGACGCUGAGGAACGAAAGCUAGGGGAGCAAACAGG
Molecule: ribosomal RNA, 253 nt
Filed under: uncultured bacterium
Lineage: Bacteria
Description: partial 16S ribosomal RNA
Rfam family: Bacterial small subunit ribosomal RNA
Source: RNAcentral